Molecule: non-coding RNA, 27 nt
Filed under: Mus musculus (house mouse)
Lineage: Eukaryota; Metazoa; Chordata; Mammalia; Rodentia; Muridae
Source: RNAcentral
UGGUGUUAUCGGCUAUCUUAAUACAUC